GAAACUACAGGUAAUACCGGAUGAGACCACAGUACCUUUGGGUACAGCGGUCAAAGGGUGGGGAUCUCUUCGGAGACCUAUCGGCUUAGGAGCGGCCCAUAUCCUAUCAGCUUGUUGGUAAGGUAGUGGCUUACCAAGGCAAUGACGGGUACCGGGACUGAGAGGUUGAUCCGGCGCAUUGGGACUGAGACACUGCCCAGACUCCUACGGGAGGCUGCAGUAACGAAUAUUGGACAAUGAACGAAAGUUUGAUCCAGCGACGCCGCGUGUAGGAAGAAGUCCCUCGGGAUGUAAACUACUGUCAGGGACUNCCAAGCAAUUGGGGCUAAUAUCUCCAUGCGUUGAGGAAUCCCAGAGGAAGCCACGGCUAACUUCGUGCCAGCAGCCGCGGUAAGACGAAGGUGGCGAGCGUUGUUCGGAAUCACUGGGCUUAAAGAGCACGUAGGUGGAUUGUCAAGCGUUAUGUGAAAGCCCUCGGCUUAACCGAGGAACUGCAUUGCGAACUGGCAGUCUUGA
This 516-nucleotide ribosomal RNA is filed under the name uncultured bacterium. RNAcentral describes it as "bacterial SSU rRNA". It matches the Rfam family "Bacterial small subunit ribosomal RNA", at positions 153 to 645 of the family's 1533-position model. The record is from RNAcentral.